This 1377-nucleotide long non-coding RNA is filed under the name Marmota monax (woodchuck). The record is from RNAcentral. Lineage: Eukaryota; Metazoa; Chordata; Mammalia; Rodentia; Sciuridae.
GGAGACUCCACUGUGAAUUAAUCUCCUCAUUUUCAUUGUCGUCAGUAUCAUAAGAGCUGAUUUCACAUUUCCAACCUCGAGAGAGACAGGUGUGCACACAUAUGUGCUCUGAGGCUGAAAACUACACAUAGGUGUGUUCCUUCAGUCAGCCAAGCACACGCAUCACUUGUUAAUCACAUGUCAGGUUGCAGUGCCGGCUCCUGAAUGUUUCUUGUACUGGGGGACCCUAGCUAGGCGCCCCUGGUGGGUGACGGUCGCCAUCUGCCUGUCUGCUGCUCUCCUGAUGUACUCUGCACAUCACUGACUCGCGAGCCACACAGCUGUCCACAGCACCAUGACACAGCAGAGCUGCUAGUUUUCAUCAUACAAAUGAGAAAAACGAGGCCCAGAGAUGUGGAGUGACCCCGAGUCGGAAGCUGAUCCACUGUGUUUCUGCCUCCCCCUGACUAACGACAGCAGACGUGUGGUACCUGUACUUUCCGUGUGAACCUCCGACUUGUUCUUCCUCCCAUGAUCCCAGAAGGGCAAAGGAAGUGAGUUGGGAGAAGCCCCAGUCAAGGGAUUCAGCACUGAUGGAAUUCUCUACCCUCCAGGAAGAUGGUCUUGUUUUGUGUGUUCUUGGAUUUAUUUCUCAAAAGAAGUCACUUGCUCCCCGGCCUCCCUGUGUCAGAUGACCUCGUUCCUCUUCUCUCAGCUCCCAACAGCCUUUACAGUUGCUUGCUGUUUGCUCGAGGUGGAGGAAACAGGCAACAGGGAGUGGAUGGGGCCAGGGGAAUGGGCUGGAACCUGGACCUGGCUGAUCUGCUCCUCAUACCCAUCCCAUCUCCGGGCCCCUGAGCCUCAGGCCCCAGUGGCUUCUGUCCUGAAGCCCUCACCUUGGCUUUUAGGUAGGUGACUUCCCAGGGGCCUCCCUGUCUCCUCCACACCUAGGUGUCUUCAGAACCCAGACCCUAGAAUUAUCACCCCCCCAUUGAGGUGAGUCUCCUCCUUCAGGGAGGGUCUCCUACUGAUGGAAGAACUAGGGGGAGCAAGAACCAAGAAAACUGUACACAGAAGCGCAAAAUCAAAGCACUUAAGCGCUGUUCGUUCGCAUCCCUCUGAAGAAGCCAGCCAUAUCUUGUUUUGUUUGUUUUGUUUUUGCUUUAGAGAUUGAACCUAGGAUGCUUAACCACUGAGCAACAUCCCCAGCCCCUUCUUUAUUUUUUAUCUUGAGACCAUGUCUCGCUGAGUUACUUAAGGCCUCACUAAGUUUCCAAGAUUGGCUUUGAAACUUGCAAUCCUCCUGCCUCCGCCUCCAGAGCCGCUGGGAUGACAGGCCUGCGCCACCCUGCCCGACUGCCACAGUGGUUCUGAUUCUUCACUCAUAGUGCUCAGCUG